UUUUUUUUUUUUUUUUUUUAGAGCCACACUGGCAGCAUGUGGAAGUUCCCAGGAGGCUAGGGAUGGAAUUGGAGCUGCAGCUGAGGCCACAGCCACAGCAACACUGGAUCCAAGCUGCAUCUACAACCUAUGCUGCAGCUUGCAGGAACUCCAGAUCCCUAACCCACCAAGUGAGGCCAGGGAUUGAACCCACAUCCUAACAGAGGCAACAUCGUGUUCUUAACGGCUGAGCCACAAUGGGAACUCCAAUUCUCCAUUUCUAAGUAGUUUUUACAUCUUCUAGAAAUAUCGACAUUCUCUUGGCUGGAUUUUCACUGGGUUACUAAAUAAUAACAUUAACUUUGAAUAGCAUCCUUCCCACAAAUUUCACACUAAGCUGCUCCUUUUGGAACUAGACAACAGCAAAGGAGGACAAAAUUAAAUAGUCUAGACAAGGAAGAAGAAAAUCUAUUUUCAGUUUGUAUUUUAUUAGAGGUGACUUGCCAGCCUGAUGAUAAAAUUAUCCAAAAUAAAAAGGGAAUGAGUAGCUCUACAAAAAUCUUCUUUAUUUGUUCUUAAGCCCUUCCCUGACUUAGGCAUAGAACUACAAUUCUUGGUGACUUCAGCCAGAGAGGCAGAAUUUACAUCUAGCUAAUGCUCGCAGAAAAGGCAGAAGGACUGUUUCAGUCUUGCUGUGAAUGUCCUUAUGGAUGUUUCCUAUGCACUCGCACAGAAGCUUCUGAAAUUUUAGGUUCAUGUGUCCUGGGUUCGGCAAGGGCAACUUCAAGUCCUCCUCUGAGGAGGCUCGCAACCCGGAAUCCGAGCUCCAAAGGCAUAGAGAAGCUCCCUGGACAACAUCAGGCUCCAUGCGGACACCCAACCCAUCCAGCCCGUGACUACCAUCCUCCAAAGUGGCAGCCAGAGGGGAAGCGGAGCCGGGACGCGAGCAGCAAAGAGGAAAAGCCACCUCCUCGGGGUUCUCUGCCCGGCUCUGCCGGACACCCUGCAGGUCGCGGAGAAUCCCAGCGAGUGGCCAGUGGCAGAGGCUGGAUGCAGACCAAAUUCACACGGAUUUCUGCACCUGGCGGCGCCCACUCGGCACAGGGGCCAGCUCGCCAACCUCUGCCUCCCGGGCCGCACUGAUCUGACCCUCUGUGCCUGAGAGAGAGUGGAAAGCCAUCCCCGAUUCUCUCACCAAAUGCCCAAGGCAGGGGAAGCGUGAGCGGGGUUUGCAGGAUGUCAACAGGGAGGGGUCUUCAAAAGAGUCCAGGUGAAAGGAAGAGUGGACUCUUCGCUGAUUUUCUGCCCUGGUCACGUAAACCUCCAUCCCAGGGCCCCCGUCCAGUGCUGGCCUUUGGGGGUCGGGCACGCCGAAGAGGACCACCACGUGUCGCAGGGCCAGGCUGUCCUGGAUUUACUUACUCCGAAAGAACUGAGAGCACUCGGGGCAGAUGAAAAGCUAGCACCUGAGUGGGAAGCUGCACCCCUACUUCCAAGGUGGUCCCACGAAAGGGGCAGGUUAGCAGCUUCCAACUCUGAAGACCCGCAGCCAAACCUGAAGGGGUCUGGACUGGAUGCUGCUUAUUGAUGGGGACCAGUAAUAUCACACCCACGUCACCCACUCCCCGCCUUGGACAGAAAUCAGUGAAAACAGCAGAGCAGAGAACCCCAAACUCCACUGUUCACAACAGCAGUGAAGAACCGGCAACAAAGAUCGUGGUGACCUUGUUCAGAACCCUAAAAUCUACUUUUUAAAACUAACAGUAACAAGUGGAAAGCUUAACAAAGGGGAAAAAAAAAAAGCUAAAUUUUGGCAAAAGAGCUCUAUGGCUUUAUUUUUUCUUUUUUUUGGCCACAGCCAUGGCAUGAAGAAGUUCCAGGGGCCAGAGGUCAAAUCCAAGGCACACCUGUGACCUACGUCCCAGCUGCGGCAACCAUGGAUCCUCAACCCACUGCGCCAGGCCAGGGAUGGAACUCAGUCCCACAGUGACCUAAGCCUCUGCAGUGGGAUCCUUAACCCACUGAGCCAUGAGGGAACUCCUCUGUUGCAUUUUAACUUACCUUGCUACCUCCCCCCCCACACCCCAACACAACUGCAGACUUGAGGCCAGAAGCCCAGUUUCCUGGUGCAGGUUACUGGUACCAGAGGGCCCAAUACUGACCUUAUUCUCAGAGAACUGUGGUUCUGCACUUGACCCCUACAGUAGCUCCUUGAAGGAUCUCUUUAAGGGUUGCACACAGCUUCUUGGGUGACAUUUACCGAAAACAUUUAAAGGCAAAUGUAUUAGCUGCUGCCACCUGCAAUAAAGGAUAACCAUUAGGUCAGGCAAUAGAAAGACCAAAAAUCCUGGGAAGAAAGAAGGGCAUAGCUCAAGGAAUAAAGGCUUUGAAAAGCUUCUGUGUUUUCAAGGAAUCUAGAAGCCCCCAUGCGUGCCCGGUCUGCACGUGUGCUCAGUAAAGUCUUGACAUUAAUAAACUAGCAAAAUAUGUUCAUUACUAAAGCUGAAAAGGUCAACAUGUAUUACUUAUAUAGCAAAUUGUUUAGAAAAAAAAAUCUACAUGUCCCGGAGAACCACAGAAAUUUGUGGGUCUUUUUCCUAGACCAUGUAUCAUUGAGUCAAUAUAACUUACAAUUUGUAUCCCCUGCUAAAAUGCAUACUUCUCAGGGGCACGGAUGUGAUUAUCAAGUAAUGACCAAAAACGGCGUGCUGAACGCCUCUGCCCCAUGCUGGUCCCUCACUGCUCCCGCUGUGUGAGUCCACCUCCUCUGGGAAGUCUUUGUGGGUCUCCCAGAGGAAGGAUUGUGCCGUUGGUGCUUUCACAGCCUCAGCUGGUGCUUCAUGGCCCAGAUGAAAAUUAUUGCUAAAUAAUCUUCUAAUUACUAGUUAGGACUCUGUCUCCCCCGGAGAAUGCGUAAUUUCCCUGAAGGCAUAGACUUUGUUCCCAUCUCAGGAAGAGGUUUCAGUAUCAAAAGGCACAUUACAAAUAGUUCAGUAAAAGAUGAAUGAAUACAUAUGUCCUACUCUAGAGGAUUUUAGCAAGAAGGUACCCUCUAAUUUUGUAGGUGUCGUGAUUCUGGUCUGCAUGGAGAAUGAUGACGUAGAGGGGUGCAUGAGGAAGGCACUGGGGACGAGGUGCUGGCAUUCAAAGGUUUCCUGUCAAAAGUCAAUAACGACAAAGUAUACUUUUUAUUCCGAACAUUUGUAGUAGUUUCUCACUUUGGUGUCCUAGGUUUCAAACACAUUGGCUUAAAAUUUUCCUUCUUGGGGGGUUCCCAUUGUGGCACAGCAGAAACAAAUCCGACUGGGAACCAUGAGGUUGAGGGUUCGAUUCCCGGCCUUGCUCAGUGGGCUAAGGAUCCAGUGUUGCCCUGAGCUGUGGUGUAGGUUGCAGAUGCGGCUCGGAUCUGGCGUGGCUGUGGCUCUGGCGUAGGCCACCAGCAACAGCUCUGAUUAGACGCCUAGCCUGGGAACCUCCAUAUGCCUUGGGUGCGGCCCCAAAAAGACAAAAACAACAACAAAAAAAACAAAAAACAAAAAACAAACCAUGUCAUUUAUUUAUUUAUUUUUGGCUGUACCACAGCAUGAAGAAGUUUCAGGGCAGGGAUCAAACCUAAACCACAGCAGUAACAAAACCAAAUCCUUAACCCCCUGAGCCACCAGGGAACUCCUAAAACUUUCCUGAUUAAAAGAUCCCGUUGAUAAAAUAUCCCUCAAAUGGAAAGAGACAACAGUCUUUCAAUAAGCGAAUGAUUAAACCACCUGGGGGCAUCCAUACCAUGAAAUACUACUAAAUAUUAAGAAGAAAGGAACUAUUGAGAAACACAACUUGGAUGAAUCAUCUGAGUAAAAGAAGCUGACCUAGGAAUUCCCGCUGUGACGUAAUGGUCUCGGUGGCGUCUCUGCAGCUCUGGGAAGCAGGUUCUAUCCCAGGCCCAGCACAGCGCGUUAAGGAUUUGUCGCUGCCGCAGCCACAGCAUAGGCCGCAACUUCGGCUGGGAUCUGAUCCCCGGCCCAUGAAUUCCAUAAGCUUCGGGUUUAAAAAAAACAGAGAGAGAGAGAAGCUGAUCGGCUGUGUGAUUAUUUAACAUCCUGGAGGCGGUAGAUUCUAUGGCUGAAGGACAGGUUGGUGGCUGCCACGGAUGGUGGGUGGAGGCUGUGGGGAGGACAAGGGGCGGCGGCAGCAGGGAGACUUUGCCGGGCUGGAAGGGCUCUGGGGCUUGACCGCAGUCGUGGUCUGGGAACCUCUGCAGGUGAUAAAACGGCAUGACACCACCCCCGCACAAGGCGUCUGUCACCUGGCUGGUUUCCACUGUAGCUCUAUGAGUUACAGCCACAGGGGGAGACCCGGUGAAGGCACUCGGAUCGCUUUGUACUUGUCUUACGGCUUCCACAAUUAUUUCCAAAUAAAAAGUCAAAAAGAAAGGAGGAAAAAUGUUGGCGCGGGGAGCUACGUUUCCCACAGGAAGGCCUGCAAAUCUGUCGCACCUUCCCAGACACACGUGGGAGGACACGUGUCCCAGGAAGGAAGCGCAUCUAGAGGAAGGUCCCACGGGACUCAGCACCCCGGCAGCAACCUGCAUUGGCUCCACCGUCCUCCUAGAGGCAGCCGCUGCUCUGGCCGCCGGGUACAGAACGCACGCCACUUAUCACGUGUACUUGGAGAGGCAGGAGCCUGAGAGAGGCAGAUUCCUAAGGUUCCGCCUAAAAAGUCUGGAGGUUGACAAAGAAUCUGCCUCUGGUCAUCCACGAGGCUGACCGUCUCCCAUGACAGUCUUUAGAUCCCGAGGUCGAAGUCUGUCCCACCACCCCCUCUUGUCCUCAGGAGUAAAAUCCUUCAAUUCUAUACAUGAGAACCAUAGACUCCGUUCUUUGAUCACGAAAAUAAAAUGCCACCCACUCAAAAUUCUAGAAGAGGAAAUAUUUUUUUCCUGUUGAAAUGUGAAUAACACAGGUCCUGCUAAAGAAUUCUAUUUAUCUCUUCUAUGCAUUUCAUAAGAAUUCAUUAAAAUAUCUGAGGGGGAAAAAAAGGCAAUGCUGAAAUCCAUUAUCAUGCGAGCAUAAUAUUUGGUCUCCAUGGCGACCUCAGUAUUCUAUCACCACAGUCACUUGGGGCAGAGGCCUCCCCAGACAAGAGCCAGAGUUUGAAACAGCUUCACCGAGACGUAACUUACACGUCGUAAACUCGACCCAUUUCAACCUUAUUUACUACAUUCCCACAAUCUAAUUCUAGAUGGUUUCCUUCAUCCUCAGACUAAACCCUCUGCCCAACAGCUGUCAACUCUCCUCCCAGCCACUAAUCCACUUCCCAUCCCCACAGGAUAGUCUAUACGAAUUGAAUCACACGUGUUCUUUUGUGUCUAGCGUCUUUGAACAUGUUUAUGUGGCAUGUAUCAGUAUUUUAUUUCUUAUUGUCAACGAGUCGUCUUUGAUACAGAUUAUAUAA
Molecule: long non-coding RNA, 5424 nt
Filed under: Sus scrofa (pig)
Lineage: Eukaryota; Metazoa; Chordata; Mammalia; Artiodactyla; Suidae
Description: lncRNA (ENSSSCG00005006751.1)
Source: RNAcentral